GCCCCUGUCUGCAAGGGCUUCAGCAGCUGUAGGCCAGGGACCAGGGCAGAGAUCAAUGUGUCUAUUUCUCAUGAUUUCACAAACCACACACAAGGCAGCAGGGGACAUGUCAGGAAACACUGCAGUCAUCGGAGCUGGACCCGCUGACCAGAGUGACCAGGCUGCAGGAACCCAGAGACCUCACCAUCAGACAGGGAUGCAAGGGCAGAGUUGAGGACAAUUUCAAGCUCUGGGACUCAAUCCGUCACUGCAGCGACCCUGGAACUGGGAUGUGUGCCAUGGGUGUGAGGACCCAGCAUGCAGCGGGCUUCCGGGACAUUUUGCUCCACAUCUUUCUCCCGAAGAGACCUUGCUGUGUUCUGAGUUACCUGGCCGGGUGCUGGCUGCACGGGAGGCAGGCAGAACUUGGCAGUCUGGAGAUGUCUGUGCAGCCACAGCAUCCAGGAGACCUCUGCUCCUCCCCACAUCCACACUGGCCAGGCAACCUGGCCGCUGGGAAGGGGGACUGGGUGACCUUCGGUGGGGGACAGACCUGCCUGUUAGCACAGCACAGCAGGGAACCCCGCUUUACCAAGUCCCAGCUCUGCAAUACCAAGAUAUUCAACCCACCACUAACGUCUCCCUUUCUUUGUCUGUGAAAUACCCCAGCAAAAUGUCUAACUCAGUCGCUGUUACAGUUUACGUAACUAUUAACAAGAUUUUAAAAUGCUCUAGUUGGGGGGAGGGUCUCUAACUGGACCCUAAAGCAAACCCCACCCACAUCCUUCCUGCCAGAUGAGCCUGCGCCCCUCCCCAAGCUCAAAGAGUGGAGCUGUCUAGGGCUGGAACCCGCUUUCCUGACCACAGCCCCCUUCCUGAGCCAGGCUUCUGGAGCCAGCCCUGGACACUGCGUCCCUCCAGGCCCUGCACCCCCCUCGCCUGCAUGUCUCUCUGCACUCUCCUGUGCCUCUGUCCUCACCUCUCUGAGGGCCGGGGCCCUGCAGGGAUCUCUGACCAGCUGGGCUGCCUGGACAGAGCAGGAGCAGCCAGGCAGUCAGGCCGCUGCCCGAGGAGAGCAAGCACUGCAGUGCGGACAGCGGGGCUGGGAGAUUGAGUGCAGGCCCAGCCAGACUUCC
This 1115-nucleotide long non-coding RNA is filed under the name Heterocephalus glaber (naked mole-rat). Its description in RNAcentral is "lncRNA (ENSHGLG00000032438.1)". The record is from RNAcentral. Lineage: Eukaryota; Metazoa; Chordata; Mammalia; Rodentia; Bathyergidae.